Long non-coding RNA from Hylaeus anthracinus, 3564 nucleotides. RefSeq lists it as uncharacterized. The record is from RefSeq and is a predicted model, not a curated record. NCBI's taxonomy places the organism in Eukaryota, Metazoa, Arthropoda, Insecta, Hymenoptera, Colletidae. The transcript is spliced from 3 exons.
CAUUGCAAUAAGGGCGCUCUCAGGGGCUGUAGCGGUGUUUGUAGCUACAGUACGGGCUUAGCAACCCCGAGGUACCCGAGCUAGAGAGAGGCCCCAAUAGAUGAGAAGAUGAUUCUAAGAGAUACCGCAAACUGUAUUAAAACAAUGCAAGAGUAAUGUAAGACGAUGAUAAGAAGAAUGGAAAAGUAAGCAAUAGUGCAAUAACUUUGUAUAAUAAGUUACGCAUUUUAAAUAAAUGAAUGAUGAAUGAAUGCAAUAAGGGCCAAGGAAUAUAGCGAGCAAUAGCAAUGCCAACGUACUAUGGCAUUGCGUUAAGAGCGACGAGAAGCAACGUAGCAUAAGACAACGACAAUGGAAUUGCUCAAGGCAGUACGGUAUCGGAAUAGCGGUGUCAAUGGACAUUGGCAACGCACACAUCCAACGACGAAGACGAUGUUUAAGCCAGCGGAAGGGGAACGAACAACCACUGAUUCACACGUGAUUACACUAUGUAAACAUGCACAAUGUAUACUGGAUGUACGAUGGUAAUUGCAAUGGCAAUGACAACGCGAUAUGGAGAUAUGUUCCUUGGCAAUGGCAAUGUCAAUGGCAGCAGUAAACGUGGACUGUAGUUAAUGUGAUCACGAACGGGUGGUGUUACACAAAAGUACACAAUGAAAAUGUUACAAAGCGACAAUUAGGUUGUGUGGAACAACUUGGGAGAAAUAUAGAAACCAAUGCUGAUAGUUUGAAAAUAGUUUGGAUGUAUUUGGUAUUAAAUAAUAUGAACGCGUUUUAAUAAAAAUUUCAAAAAAUCACGAGGCUUGUAAUAUUUAUAGAAGUGGAAAAACAAGAAAAUAAUUCUUUCUGUUAGAUGAAAUAAAACCUAUCUAAAGUGAAAUUAAAGAAUGUCCUCAUUUUGCUAUCUGGAAAUGAUAAUCCUUGCCAGGAAAAUCAAAUAAAACCGGUGCAAGAUAGAGCUAAAGAAAGCCACCAGUAGUCUCGUUUUACUGUCUGAAGAUGAUAAUCCUUGUCAGAGUACUUUUUUAUCUAACGUUUUGCUACGUGUUGGCGAGUAAUGAAGAAGUAAUUCCUUUUUAGAAUAUAUAGUAAAUGUAUCCAAAGGGGAAUUAAAGAACUCCAUUGCUAUUCCCGUUUUACUGGAGUUGUUAAUCAUUGCCAGAGUACCUUUUUAUGUAACACUCUGCUACCGUUUUGGCAAUCACGGUGACACGUUAUGGCGCUUGCCGUAGGUCGUGGAACGCGUCGAUUCUAAGCUCGACUUCCGUAUUGGCAGUCGUUUAAACGACACCCGUUCUCGACAUUGUGGGACGGUUCGCUCAUUAUCCAUUGUAACCAUCUCAAUGUCACGGUUAAAUUCUACACUGACCGUGCGUCUGCAUAGCCAGUCAUAAUCAAUACUGUUGCCAGGAAGAAAACAGCAGUCUCACCGUGAGGCGUGAGAGAUAUAAUCUGAAAUGCAUUUAUCACCCUUCUAAAUUACUUUACAAAGUAAUUAGUUCACUUGAAUCUGCUUAAUGGGCGUUCGACGAUAAAGAACGAGAAACGGAGCACCACGGAUGACGGACCACCUUACAUUUUUGGGCAUGCGUUUCCGUUUCACUUGUUCUCUUUUAAGGGGUCCGUUUUCGAUCGUUCUGCAAGAUAUUCGAGAAUCUUAUAUCGAUUUUAACAGGUACAAGUAUUAAACUUGGUAUAUACGUGAAGUUUUUCGUUAAGAUAUCUUUAAAAGUGGCCAGGAUACGUGUACUGUAAAAUUACGCUUUGUUUUAAAUUAAAAUGUGUAAUUAAAUCUUGAAGAAAUCCGAAUUUUCCACUAAAUCUUAUAAUUUCUACACGUAACCGAAAACAGUAUUCUCAUUGGCCGAGAAUUUUAACUUCGGAGAUGGAUUGCAUCUGUAUACUACAGAGAGUUUAACGAGCGUGAUUAUAAUAUUUUGUAAUCAGGUAGGUGAGAAUAAUCUCAGUUUCUUUAUUUCUCUGCCCGAGGUUGGUAAUUUAAUAUUAAUUCAUAUUAUUAAAACCCUGGUAUUUGUUACAGCAGUCAGUUUAAAAAGAAAAUCAACAAGAGGAGAAACGGUGAUGGACUUGCUUCGUAAUGGCUAUAGUUUAGUUCAGGACAAUUGUGUAUUCCGUACGAGUAAAAAGAUGAAAAUUAGCCGCGCGUUCCAGGUGCUCGAUGAUUUUAUAAAUAAUUGAACGUCACGUUAUUGAACGUCACGUUUUACGACGAAACGAACGUUUUGAAAGGCUACACUUAAAGUAGCGGUGAUAUUUAAUUACCUGCCAUAACGAAAACUAAUUGCAAGUUGGCUCGGAAUCAUAUCCGUUCAAAGAAAAAGUGGAGGAUUAUGGUAUUUAUUUACAAGCAAAUCGACUUCGAUUUCCACGAUUUGGAGAUAAAAAAUUAUUCUCGAGACAUCGAUAAUAACGGUUAUGUACAAACAAGAAGCUACUGUUGCGUUAAAGUGGAUAUAAACUUUAUGAAUAUUUUAUUUAAAUAACAUAUUAAAAUGCAACGAUACGUAUUCAAUACAUAAUAAUUUGUUUGUGAUAACAUGUAAUUAGAAACGCUGGAUGUGUAAAGUAGGUCAAAUAGCCGCCAUCUUGUAGCAAAAUGAGCAUUUGCAUUUCAGAUACUACACUUAAGAAAUUAAAGGAAUUUUAAUAUCGAACAAAAUAUGUACGUUCGCAAAAUGUGUACUAAACUAAACAUUCAUGCAGAAUUAUAGACAAAAUUGUGCAAAUCAAUCGAAUAAAAAGAAAAAAAGCAUUUAAAAAACUUGAUAUCCGUUGUGCUUCGUAAAGAAACCUGGCGUUGCAUUCUUACAAUGCAAUUAUCGCGAGAACGGUAAUUAACGAUAAACUACAUUUGUCAUUCUUGACGAUACAUAAUAAACACGGCACGAUAAAUGACUGAAAUUGUUUUACUUGGGUUUAAUGUACGCUACAUAUGUAUUUAAGGUUCACAGUGCACUCGUUAAAUGUAGUCAUACGUACUAUAUAUAAUUCUCAAGGUUAAUCCGUUAUUGCGUAGCAAAAUAUGAAUAAUGUAUCGGCUUACUCAAAGACGGUACUUUAUGCAGGAUGUCCGAGUAAUUGCAAUACAAACGAGAAAGGGACGAUUCCGUUUGAGAAAAAAAAAUAAAUCUAAAAUUUAACGUAAAAUAUGAUUAUGUUAGAUAGCGACCACUCGCUAACCAGAGAAACAAUCUUAUUUGUAUAAAUAAUCACUCUAUUUUCGGUUGAACCACGAUUAUUAUUACAACACUCUGUAUAUCCAGUAACUUUAAGGACAUUUCUAGUUAGGCAAACCAUUAGUUAGGUAAUUAUUGAAUUUUUCUUAACGACAAGAUUAUGAAAUACAUACGUGAAGUCUUAUCGACAUAUGUAUUUAGUACGUUUAAGUGCAUCGCCUGGAGUUUGUUAAACAAAUAACUAUUAAAGUGUAUCAGUGUGGUUAUCGCUUCUGUUAGAAUAUCAAGUCGAUUGGCAAAUUACAAACGUCGUUUAAAGUUCUAACGACCGUUCCACUAGGCAAUAUAUGUAAUUCUGGAUACAUGA